CUUUAUCUGAGAGUUUGAUCCUGGCUCAGGACGA
RNAcentral lists this ribosomal RNA (34 nucleotides) under Salisediminibacterium halotolerans. RNAcentral's name for it is "16S rRNA. Bacterial SSU". Lineage: Bacteria; Bacillati; Bacillota; Bacilli; Caryophanales; Bacillaceae. The record is from RNAcentral.